Non-coding RNA from Tritrichomonas musculus, 76 nucleotides. Lineage: Eukaryota; Parabasalia; Tritrichomonadida; Tritrichomonadidae. The record is from the annotation of a GenBank genome assembly.
GUUUACUUUGGCUGAGUGGUCUAAAGCAUUGGCUUCAAAACCCAAUUUAUCAUGGGUUCGAAUCCCAUGGGUACCA